AAUAGAUACCCAGGUAGUCCACGCCGUAAACGUUGGGCGCUAGAUGUGGGGGCCAUUCCACGGUUUCCGCGUCGUAGCUAACGCAUUAAGCGCCCCGCCUGGGGAGUACGGCCGCAAGGCUAAAACUCAAAGGAAUUGACGGGGGCCCGCACAAGCGGCGGAGCAUGCGGAUUAAUUCGAUGCAACGCGAAGAACCUUACCAAGGCUUGACAUAUACGAGAACACUGCAGAAAUGUAGGACUCUUUGGACACUCGUAUACAGGUGGUGCAUGGUUGUCGUCAGCUCGUGUCGUGAGAUGUUGGGUUAAGUCCCGCAACGAGCGCAACCCUCGUCGCAUGUUGCCAGCACGUAAAGGUGGGAACUCAUGUGAGACUGCCGGGGUCAACUCGGAGGAAGGUGGGGAUGACGUCAAAUCAUCAUGCCCCUUAUGUCUUGGGCUUCACGCAUGCUACAAUGGCCGGUACAAAGGGCUGCAAUCCGUAAGGUGGAGCGAAUCCCAAAAAGCCGGUCUCAGUUCGGA
RNAcentral lists this ribosomal RNA (521 nucleotides) under uncultured bacterium. RNAcentral's name for it is "bacterial SSU rRNA". It matches the Rfam family "Bacterial small subunit ribosomal RNA", at positions 777 to 1297 of the family's 1533-position model. The record is from RNAcentral.